Molecule: ribosomal RNA, 253 nt
Filed under: uncultured bacterium
Lineage: Bacteria
Description: partial 16S ribosomal RNA
Rfam family: Bacterial small subunit ribosomal RNA
Source: RNAcentral
UACGUAGGGGGCAAGCGUUGUCCGGAAUCAUUGGGCGUAAAGCGCGUGUAGGCGGUCCGGUAAGUCCGCUGUGAAAGUCGGGGGCUCAACCCUCGGAUGCCGGUGGAUACUGUCGAGCUCGAGUCCGGAAGAGGCGAGUGGAAUUCCUGGUGUAGCGGUGAAAUGCGCAGAUAUCAGGAGGAACACCAAUGGCGAAGGCAGCUCGCUGGGACGUGACUGACGCUGAGACGCGAAAGCGUGGGGAGCAAACAGG